This 590-nucleotide ribosomal RNA is filed under the name uncultured bacterium. RNAcentral describes it as "bacterial SSU rRNA". It matches the Rfam family "Bacterial small subunit ribosomal RNA", at positions 338 to 951 of the family's 1533-position model. The record is from RNAcentral.
CCUACGGGAGGCAGCAGUGAGGAAUUUUCCGCAAUGGGCGAAAGCCUGACGGAGCAAUACCGCGUGAGGGAUGAAGGAUUUUGGUCUGUAAACCUCUUUUCUCAAGAAAGAAGUUCUGACGGUACUUGAGGAAUAAGCAUCGGCUAACUCCGUGCCAGCAGCCGCGGUAAUACGGGGGAUGCAAGCGUUAUCCGGAAUGAUUGGGCGUAAAGCGCCUGUAGGUUGUUUAUUAAGUCCGUUGUUAAAGCCUAGGGCUCAACCCUAGAAAAGCAAUGGAAACUAGUAGACUAGAGUAUGGCAGGGGUAGAGGGAAUUUCUAGUGUAGCGGUGAAAUGCGUAGAUAUUAGAAAGAACACCGGUGGCGAAAGCGCUCUACUGGACCAUUACUGACACUCAGAGGCGAAAGCUAGGGUAGCAAAAGGGAUUAGAUACCCCUGUAGUCCUAGCCGUAAACGAUGGAUACUAGAUGUUGUGCAUUAUGUACAGUAUCGUAACUAACGCGUUAAGUAUCCGCCUGGGGAGUACGCUCGCAAGGGUGAAACUCAAAGGAAUUGACGGCUGGAGAGUGCGAGACGACACGAGGGAGGAGG